This 434-nucleotide ribosomal RNA is filed under the name uncultured Clostridium sp. Its description in RNAcentral is "partial 16S ribosomal RNA". It matches the Rfam family "Bacterial small subunit ribosomal RNA", at positions 341 to 792 of the family's 1533-position model. Lineage: Bacteria; Bacillati; Bacillota; Clostridia; Eubacteriales; Clostridiaceae. The record is from RNAcentral.
ACGGAAGGCAGCAGUGGGGAAUAUUGCACAAUGGGGGAAACCCUGAUGCAGCGACGCCGCGUGAGUGAAGAAGUAUUUCGGUAUGUAAAGCUCUAUCAGCAGGAAAGAAAAUGACGGUACCUGACUAAGAAGCCCCGGCUAACUACGUGCCAGCAGCCGCGGUAAUACGUAGGGGGCAAGCGUUAUCCGGAUUUACUGGGUGUAAAGGGAGCGUAGACGGCUUUGCAAGUCUGAAGUGAAAGCCCGGGGCUCGACCCCGGAACUGCUUUGGAAACUGUAGAGCUAGAGUGCAGGAGAGGUAAGUGGAAUUCCUAGUGUAGCGGUGAAAUGCGUAGAUAUUAGGAGGAACACCAGUGGCGAAGGCGGCUUACUGGACUGUAACUGACGUUGAGGCUCGAAGGCGUGGGGAGCAAACAGGAUUAGAUACCCUGGUA